Mustela erminea (ermine) is the source of this 6335-nucleotide long non-coding RNA. RefSeq lists it as uncharacterized. NCBI's taxonomy places the organism in Eukaryota, Metazoa, Chordata, Mammalia, Carnivora, Mustelidae. The transcript has 11 exons. The record is from RefSeq and is a predicted model, not a curated record.
UUUAUUUUUAAGUAAUCUCUGCACCCAACAUGGGGCGCAAACUUACAACCGCGAGACCGAGAGUCAUGCUCCGCCAACUGAGUCAGCUAGGCGCCCCUAAAGACUUUUCCAUAUUCAGAUAUCUACAAAUUUAUCAUUUCAAGUCUCUUGAAUUUACUUUGCUUUUGGUAUGUAUUUCUUUAAGAGUUUAAUUUGUCCCUUAUAAUAUUGAUAGGAAUAAGAUUUUUUUUGGUAUUCUUGUUUAGAGAUAAUGUAUACCUAACAUAGUGGUGAUAGACGGAUUUGCAGAUAUCCAGGUAAUUAAUCAUAUUGUCCUUCACUACCUCAUUGACUAUGAAAUUAUCACAGGUAUACCAUGAAAAGAGGAAGGUGUCUCUUCAAGGGACCAAGGGAAUUUACAGGUAUAGCGGUAGAAUAAGAUAGGCACCAAAAAUAUUUUCUAUAGUGGUUUUUUUUUUUUCAGUCUCCUAUCAGUACAUCACAGUGAGCCCAUCAAUGGCAGUUACCGUAGGACAUUGCUGAUGUCACAGUAAGUGAUGAUGUGGGCCUAAGUCACAGUACAGACCAUCUGAUCUUCAGAUAGCUUGGUAAGUCAUGAUGGUAUCCCUAACACUUGCUACUUGCUAUUACCAUGACUUCGUUGCAAGUAUUCAGGUUCCUGUCAAGAUAUGAUGAUGAACCUAACACUAGUCAUUCUCUGUGGACAUUUCUGUUGCCCACGUAAGGGAUGAUGUUCACCUUCACCAUUUCAAAUCAUCUGAUCUUCACGUACCUAGGUGAGCAGGGAAGAGAUGAUGGCAUAUCUGUUUGGCAUGGACCUUGAAGUGUUGCCACAAUCCAGAAAGAUCCGAUGGGUCCUGCAGUAAUGGCAAUGAACACUGCAAAUAGUAUUUCUAGUCGCAAAGGAAGGUCUCUAGACAUGUUUUUUACAGAGUGUUGUUUAAAUUACCAUCGAGAGGUCAUGGUAAAUUUCAAAGUGAUCAUUGCUGGGACUUUGCGUAUGUUCAGGUUUCCAGUUAAGAAAUGAUACUGUCCCAACCAAUGCUAAUCUCAUCAUGUCUGGACAGCAGCCUGAAAAAGACAUCACUGUGCACCUAGCAUUGAUGGCAAUGGCAGACAUUGCUGGUAAGUUUCCCGGGAAGUGAGGCUGUGGCCCUAAAUCACAGCACAGGCCAUCUGAUCUCCAGAUAGGUAAGUGAUGACGGUGUCCCUAAGAGUUGUUACCAUGAUUUCUUUGCAGAUGUUCAGGUAGGAAUUGAUAGUCCUUACUAAUUAUAGAAACCAUGAGUUUUACUUUUUACAUUUUAGGAAAGAUUUUUGUUUAACCUUGUGAGUGAUGAGGGAUUGCCAUAUCGAGGUAAUUAACAUUGUGUCCUCAACCACAGCAAUAACCAACAAUUUUGGAGGUGUCCCAUGGAGAAAUAUUGUCUUAUCUGGUGAUGAUUUUGACCUUGGAAAUACUAUAAGUGUUUAGGUAUAGUUGAUAUGUCUCAGAAUGAUAAAGUGACCAAGGUUAUUUACAGGUGUCCUGGUAGAACAAGUUGUGUCCCUUUACACGUAGAUCAUGUGUUUUUCAGGUUCCUGUCAAAAGACUUCAAUGAAUCUGAUGAUGGUCGGUAAAGGGGGUACGUUUCUGGUAUCCAGAUAUCUGAUGAGGUGUACUUUCACUACAUCAGACCCUCUGCUCUUCAUGAGUCUUUUUCCAUUAAAUUUUGUUGAUUACUUGAAUUUGUUUUACCAUGUGGGGUUUUUUUUUUUUUUUUAAGGCAUUCAGGCAGAAAUGAUAGCAUUUUUACCAAUUCUAGCAAACCUAUUAUCCAAGUUUUUUGUGUUUUAGAGGAAAUUUGCAUAAAACCAUGUGAAUAUUCAGCAAUUCAUGGGUAUUCAUGGAAUAAAUGGUUGCAGAUCCCACAAGUUACCAUGGUGUUUUUGUAGGUAAUCAAAACAUGCUGGCAAUGGCAUAGACCGUGGAGUACUGAAAGAUCCCAUGUAGAGUUGAUGGAUCCUACAAUGAUGUAAGUGCACAAGAUUAUUUCCAUGACCUGGUAGAGAGGGUAUCCUAUAGACCCAUUUGUCACUGUAUGUUAUUCAAGUUCCUGUCAAGAAAUCCUGGUGAACCCCAUAAUGAUCAAUAAUAGGACUUUGCUUUCAUCCAGGUAAGUGAUGAUGUGGGCCUCAAGCUCCCUAGAAACAAUCUAACCAUCUGAUAGGUGGGUAAGUGUGGAUGGAUUUCCCAGCUUCUUUAUGACUAUGUUUUUGUUUUUGUUUUUAUAGGUAUUCAGGUAAGAAAUUAUAGAGUAGGCUAGUAACCAUGCUAGUAAUUAUUUAAAGUUUAGAUGGUGACCGAGGGAUAUGCAGGUGUCCAGGUAAGUUAUCCUCCUGUUCCACACCACAGUGUUGAGAGAGAAAUUUUUUACAGGGACUCAGGAGAUGAUGCCUUCUCUAACAAUGGAGUUGACCUUGAAGUUCUAGUUAUGCCAAGAACCAAGUAGUGUUGAUAGGUUUUCUAAUGAUGGAAAUAACCAGUGUUAAUUAUAUGUAUUCUUUUUUCCCCCAGGUGAAAAACUUUUUCUUUUUUUUAGGUGUAUAAACUAUUAACAGAUAGGCCUACAGAUUUAUUUCUUCCACAGUGUGGCCGUGGCAGCCUGUGGUGUUGGUGCACUGGCCUUGGACGCGAAGUCCCCAGAAGUGACACAGCCCUCGGGGGGCCUGAAUCUUCUUCAGUCACUCCAGGUCUUCACAAAGUUUGUUGUCCAGACCAUUGGCCAGGACCUGGUUAUAUUUUCCAUCCUUCAUGUCCUUUCGUCUGUCUGAAGCCAGCCUGGGGUCUUACAUUGGCAUAGAUGCUGCGUAAUGGUGAUCGCACAUUCCCCCUCAUCCUCGGGGAGCUCUCCUGUCCUCUUGGGGAGAUCGAUGUCUGCUUUCCUCAACACCAUGUUAUGGUAGUUAGUCCUGUUACAGUCCCAUUAAUGGGACCCUGCUCGUAACCUGGUAUGUGAUUUUGUGGAUGUUACACCAUACUUGAGAUCACCUAUUCUUCAGAUGUCUUAGGCUUAUGUGAAGACCUCAUGAUUAAUAGGCUUCCCUCUCACAUUUAAUGAGGCAUAUAGGGAUAUUGAGGAAAGGGAUAAUGUGGGCCUAAAGCACAGCGUACUCUUUCUGAUCCUACUAUGUAGGCUCUUGUCAAGAAAACCCAGUGAACCUAACAAUGUUCAUUAAUGGAACCUUGCUCUUAACCUGGUAAGUGAUGACGUGGGUUCUACCACUAUCCAGACCCUCUGCUCUCCAAAAGGAAAGUAGGCGAAGGUGGUGUCGCGACCGUUGGUGUUACUGAGUUUGUUUGCAGAUAUCCUGUUAUGGUCUCUGUUAGUAUACAGGUAUGAGAUGAUAUGACAUCUUAUUAGAGACAUUCUUAUUUCCAGGCAUCUAUAUAAUUAAUGUUUGAGACUCUUACAUUUAUGUUAUUUUGGGACGUAUUCUGUUAAGAAAUUAAUGUGCCCCUAGUAACACUAGUAAGAAUGUGAUUUUCUGUAUUCUUGUUUAGAGAUACUAUGUAUUUAACAGUUGGAGUGACAGAGGGAUCCAGGUAUUCUGUCCCGUAAUCUAUCACAGCAUUAUUGACGCUGGAAUUUUUGUAGGUAUCCAUCAAGAGAGAAAGGUAUGUCCUCAGCUUUUACCUGAGAGUUCCUUCCACAAGUAACCAAGAGAAAUUGCAGGUGUAGCGGAAGAAGGAUUUAUUCUCCACGAUAUGGUUUUCAGGCUCAGGUCAGAACAUGAUAAGCCCAUUAUUGGUAUAUAACAUGGGACAUUGCUGGUGUCAAGGUCAGUGAUGAAGUGGACCUAAACCACAGCACAGGCCAUCUGACUUUCAUAUACAGAGAAGUAAGUAAUAUUCACUUGCCUAAACUUUUGGUUGCCAUAUUUUUCUCACUUGCCGUUCGUUUGUUUAGGUAUUUAAGUUUAGAGAUGAUAGUAUCCUUGUCAAUACCAGUAACCAUGUACCUUUCUUUAUUUCAGAGAAAAUGUGUUUAGCCCUGGAAGUUUUGAGUGAUUUAUGGGUAUCCAUAUAAUGGUUACAAACUUCUGUGUCAUGGUAGCAAUGGUGUGUUACUUGACAGCAGUUAGGAGGUGACGGUAUUUUUAACAGUGGUGCAGAACUUGGAGUACUGCAGGUAUCCCGGCAGAGAGGAGGGUAUUUGCAGGUGUCCUGGUGGGAAAUAUGUGUUUGUAGACACACUUGUCACAGUGUGGUUUUCAGGUUCCUGUCAAGAGAUCAUGAUGACCUUCAUAAUGAUUUUUAUCAGCGACAGUGCUCGUGUUGCGGUAAGUGAUGAUAUGCCCCAAGCAUCCCCACAGACCUUCUGAUCUGGAGAUUUCCAGGUAAGUUUGAUAGCAUCACUAACAUUAGUGUACCCGUGGUUUCGUUUUGGGUUUUUUUGAGUAGGUAUUCAGGUAAAAAAUCAUCUCAAACAAUGCUAGUAAGCAUUAGCUCUUACAGGAUGAAAGUUCCGUCGGUGGAGCACGUGACUCUUGAUCUCGGGUUGUAAGUUCAAGCCCUGCACUGGCUUAGAGCUUCCUUUAAAAAAAGAUUAUUUAACACCCCCACUGAGUUUAUAUAUAUAAUGUGUGUCUAACAUCAGUAGUGACUGAGACCCGAGUGCAGGUUAGUCAUCUAGGUUCCACACCACAGUUAUUACCAUAAGAUUUUUCCAGGUGGCCAGUCAAGAGGUGAAGAUGUCUCCGGUAUCCAUGUUGACCUUGAAGUUCUGCCAUGAUCCAGGUGACGUUGAUGGUUCCCGUAGUGACAGAAUGGACCAAAAUUACCUAUAGAUACCCUGCCAGGAUGAGUUGUUGCCUUAUACACAUUCGCCGUCCCUCUUUUUUAGGAUCCUGUCGAGUAGUCAAUCCGAACAGAAGAAUGGUUAUUAGCAAAAUCUUGUCAGGAACCAGUUAAGUGCUAAAGAGAGUUUUACCUAUGGGUAAGAGCAUCUCAUCCUCAGAUGAUCAAGGCAAGUGAGAAUGAUGUGUCUCACAUUUGUAUUACCAUCUUUCUGCAGAUAAACUAUUAAGGUUCUCCUAGUAACCAGGUCUCAGAUGCUGUGACCUUAACUCCAGGAGACAUUACUUUCAGAAAUCUGUGUGAUGAAUGAUAUUGUUCAGGUCCUAACAGUAACCUGGUGAGAGGCCUGUAUGCAGUUAAGCAAUUAAGUUGUCCCUAACAAUUAGUAUGCCUGAGAAUGUAUGACUGUUAUUUAUGAUGGUUUCGGACUGAUCGAGGAACUUUCACAUUCCCAGGUCCUUUAUCGUAUUGUCUAUCACUGUGUUACCAACCACAGGAUUUCUGCAGGCACUCCUUCAGGAGAGGAAGAUUGCUCUUCCUUGGGGCUGACCUUGGAGUUUCGCAAGUAUAUUCAGACCUUAUUGAUGGGUCCUGAGGUAACACAAAAGGCCAGGAGAGUUCGCAGCUGUCUGUAAGAAUGAACUCGUACCAAACGCAUUUGCCACAGUGUGUUUUUCAGCUUCCUGUCAAGACAUCACGAUGAACCCAGCCAUAGACAUUAGCGAGGAGCAUUAUGGCAGGACACAGAUAGGAGAGGCUGGGGUCCUAAAGCACAGGACAGGCCAUCUCAUCUCCACAUAGCUAGGUUCUUGUCAGGAGAACACAGUGAACCUCACCGUGGUUGGUAACAGAUCCUUACUAGUAACCAGGUAAGUGCUACCGUGGGUCUUAACCAUACAGACUGAUCUAAUCUUCAAUGUCUAGGUAAAUGAGAAUGGCAUCCCUAACACUUGUGUUACUGUGUUUAUCCGCAGAUAUCCUCUUAAGAUCUUUCCUAGUACACAGGUAUACGAUAAUGCGACGUUAGCUUACUAGAACAUUCUAAUUUUUAGAUACCUAUGCAUUAAUAUGUUGAUGAUUCUAAUAUUGACAUUGUUUGGGCAUGUAUUCUGUUAAGAAAUUAAUGUAUUUCUCUAAUACUGGUAAGAAUGAGAGUUGUGUCCUUGUUUGGAGCUACUGUGUUUUCAAAACCAGUGGUGAUGGAAGGAUGUGCCAAUACCCAGUAAUGUGUCCUGUUGUCCAUCUCAGCAUUAUUGACCCUGGCUUUUUUGUAGGGAUCCCUUCCAAGAGGAACCAGUCACUUUCUAGCUUCAAUCUUGGAGCUCUGCAAGUACCCAGGAUGUCAUGGUGAGUGUCUCCAUGGUAGUUGAUGGAGGACAUUGGUGGUGCGAGGUAAGUGAUGAUGUGAGCCUGCGCCCCAGCAUGGACCAUCAGAUUUUCACACACACGGGGAAGUCUAUGUUGAACACUGUGAGUGUUGAGGGAUUGCAUAUAU